GGGCCCGUAGCUCAGCUAGGAUAAGAGCGCCGGCCUGCGGAGCCGGUGGUCAGGGGUUCAAAUCCCCUCGGGCCCGCCA
This 79-nucleotide transfer RNA is filed under the name Ignisphaera aggregans. RNAcentral describes it as "tRNA-Arg". It matches the Rfam family "tRNA". Rfam says of the family: Transfer RNA (tRNA) molecules are approximately 80 nucleotides in length. Their secondary structure includes four short double-helical elements and three loops (D, anti-codon, and T loops). Further hydrogen bonds mediate the characteristic L-shaped molecular structure. tRNAs have two regions of fundamental functional importance: the anti-codon, which is responsible for specific mRNA codon recognition, and the 3' end, to which the tRNAs corresponding amino acid is attached (by aminoacyl-tRNA synthetases). tRNAs cope with the degeneracy of the genetic code in two manners: having more than one tRNA (with a specific anti-codon) for a particular amino acid; and 'wobble' base-pairing, i.e. permitting non-standard base-pairing at the 3rd anti-codon position. The record is from RNAcentral. RNAcentral also lists the same sequence under 1 other name. Lineage: Archaea; Thermoproteati; Thermoproteota; Thermoprotei; Desulfurococcales; Desulfurococcaceae.